CCUCUCUUUCUCCGCUCCUUCUCUGUCCUCUCUCGUCAAUCCGUCACUUGCAUCUGCUUCUCUUCUCCUUGUACUCAAUUGAAACCAUCAUCCAAUGAAUCAAUCCUUAUAAUUGUUAAGCCUCAGCUCCUUGUCUUAGUUCUCAGCGGAUCUACAAAUUUUGUAUGAGUUUAUGCUUCUAAUCCAAGAUCCCCAAUUAUUUCAUUCAAAACCCUAAUCUCCCCCAAUCUCCCUUUAUCAGCAAUGGCCGCUGAAUUUACAGAGUCGAGAUCGAGAGAGAGAGAGAGAGCAAUAGCAAUAGCAAUGGGUAAAGAGGAAGAAAAGGAGAUCGAGACGUAUUUUCAGAGACAUGACUGCGAGACUAGUGUGCUGCUGCGGAUAUAAAUCACACUUUGAUUGCCUCUCACGUUGAUAAGGUGUGGUCAAACCAUCACAAUUAUGAAUUGAGUUUUUCAUUGUGAGGAGAUAGAAACGCGCAACAAUUUUUGUACAUGGCCUCUAUGAAAACCCAACAAUAGUGGUUCUUGAGGAGAAGAUCAGGUGGCAGGCAUAUUGUUGUUUGGCUCCAAUUUUGC
Molecule: long non-coding RNA, 575 nt
Organism: Rosa rugosa (rugosa rose)
Lineage: Eukaryota; Viridiplantae; Streptophyta; Magnoliopsida; Rosales; Rosaceae
Exons: 3
Source: RefSeq, a predicted model, not a curated record